GAGGGUAUAGCUCAGUGGUAGAGCAUGUGCUUAGCAUGCACGAGGUCCUGGGUUCAAUCCUCAGUACUUCCA
This 72-nucleotide transfer RNA is filed under the name Camelus bactrianus (Bactrian camel). It matches the Rfam family "tRNA". From Rfam's summary of the family: Transfer RNA (tRNA) molecules are approximately 80 nucleotides in length. Their secondary structure includes four short double-helical elements and three loops (D, anti-codon, and T loops). Lineage: Eukaryota; Metazoa; Chordata; Mammalia; Artiodactyla; Camelidae. The record is from Rfam by way of RNAcentral. RNAcentral also lists the same sequence under 2 other names.